UACGUAGGGACCGAGCGUUGUCCGGAAUCAUUGGGCGUAAAGAGCGUGUAGGCGGCCACUUAAGUCCUGCGUGAAAUCUUGCGGCUCAACCGCAAGCGGUCGUGGGAAACUGGGUGGCUAGAGUGCGGGAGAGGAGAGUGGAAUUCCUGGUGUAGCGGUGGAAUGCGCAGAUAUCAGGAAGAACACCCGUGGCGAAGGCGGCUCACUGGACCAUAACUGACGCUGAUGCACGAAAGCUAGGGGAGCAAACAGG
This 253-nucleotide ribosomal RNA is filed under the name uncultured bacterium. RNAcentral describes it as "partial 16S ribosomal RNA". It matches the Rfam family "Bacterial small subunit ribosomal RNA", at positions 524 to 776 of the family's 1533-position model. The record is from RNAcentral.